Molecule: small nucleolar RNA, 104 nt
Filed under: Pongo abelii (Sumatran orangutan)
Lineage: Eukaryota; Metazoa; Chordata; Mammalia; Primates; Hominidae
Description: Small nucleolar RNA U13 (ENSPPYG00000040244.1)
Rfam family: Small nucleolar RNA U13
Source: Rfam by way of RNAcentral
AUCCUUUUGUAGUUUAUGAGCAAGAUGAUUGAGUGUUCACACACGGGUGUGAGAUGUGCCACCCUCAAACCUUGUUACGACUUCGGCUUAUUACCCAACUAACC